ACCGGCGGCUCGAGUGGUGGCCACUAUUACUGGGCUUAAGCGUUUGGAGAUGGGUUGUUAAAUCUCUUGGGGAAUCUUUCGGCUCCACCCGGAAGCGUCCCAGGGAUACUGGCAGGCUAGGGACCGGAAGAGGUGAGAGGUACUCCCGGGGUAGGAUUGAAACCCUGUAAUCCUUGGGGGACCGCCUGUGGCGAAGGCGUCUCACCAGGACGGCUCCGACAGUGAGGAACGAAAGCUGGGGGAGCAAACCG
This 251-nucleotide ribosomal RNA is filed under the name uncultured prokaryote. RNAcentral describes it as "partial 16S rRNA". It matches the Rfam family "Archaeal small subunit ribosomal RNA", at positions 475 to 726 of the family's 1478-position model. The record is from RNAcentral.